RNAcentral lists this ribosomal RNA (308 nucleotides) under Nereididae environmental sample. RNAcentral's name for it is "partial 16S ribosomal RNA". It matches the Rfam family "Bacterial large subunit ribosomal RNA", at positions 1959 to 2521 of the family's 2925-position model. The record is from RNAcentral. Lineage: Eukaryota; Metazoa; Annelida; Polychaeta; Phyllodocida; Nereididae.
GCAUAAUCAAUUGCCUUCUAAUUAAAGGCUUGUAUGAAUGGAUAAACAAGAAUAAAACUGUCUCACUUAGAAUUAUCCCAACCUGUAAAUUAGGUGCAAAUCCCUAUAUUUUAAUAAAAGACAAGAAGACCCUAUAGAGCUUUAUUUAUAAAAGUUAUAACACUAAAAUAUAAAUUUAGUUGGGACAACUAAAAAACAUUAAAACCUUUUUACUAAAUUACAUAAACCCACAAAUGUAAAAGAACUAAGCUACCUUAGGGAUAACAGGUUAAUUUUGCUAGAGAGACCACAUUGACAGCAAAGAUUGA